AACGACUCUCGGCAACGGAUAUCUCGGCUCUCGCAUCGAUGAAGAACGUAGCGAAAUGCGAUACUUGGUGUGAAUUGCAGAAUCCCGUGAACCAUCGAGUCUUUGAACGCAAGUUGCGCCCGAAGCCAUCCGGCUGAGGGCACGUCUGCCUGGGUGUCACGCA
RNAcentral lists this ribosomal RNA (163 nucleotides) under Hesperolinon bicarpellatum. Its description in RNAcentral is "5.8S ribosomal RNA". It matches the Rfam family "5.8S ribosomal RNA". Rfam says of the family: 5.8S ribosomal RNA (5.8S rRNA) is a component of the large subunit of the eukaryotic ribosome. It is transcribed by RNA polymerase I as part of the 45S precursor that also contains 18S and 28S rRNA. Lineage: Eukaryota; Viridiplantae; Streptophyta; Magnoliopsida; Malpighiales; Linaceae. The record is from RNAcentral. RNAcentral also lists the same sequence under 12 other names.